UGAGCAAUCUGCCCUUCUCAUCGGAAUAAGCGUUGGAAACGACGUCUAAUGCCGAAUACGACCUCCUUUCGCAUGAUCGGAGGUGGAAAGCUCCGGCGGAGAAGGAUGAGCUCGCGGCCUAUCAGCUAGUUGGUGGGGGUAAUGGUCCACCAAGGCGACGACGGGUAGCCGGCCUGAGAGGGUGACCGGCCACACUGGGACUGAGAUACGGCCCAGACUCCUACGGGAGGNAGCG
This 235-nucleotide ribosomal RNA is filed under the name uncultured bacterium. Its description in RNAcentral is "partial 16S ribosomal RNA". It matches the Rfam family "Bacterial small subunit ribosomal RNA", at positions 118 to 353 of the family's 1533-position model. The record is from RNAcentral.